UGGGGCGUGGCCAAGCGGCAAGGCACCGGGUUUUGGUCCCGGGAUCGCAGGUUCGAAUCCUGCCGCCCCAGCCG
This 74-nucleotide transfer RNA is filed under the name Actinomycetes bacterium. Its description in RNAcentral is "Actinobacteria bacterium tRNA-Gln". It matches the Rfam family "tRNA". From Rfam's summary of the family: Transfer RNA (tRNA) molecules are approximately 80 nucleotides in length. Their secondary structure includes four short double-helical elements and three loops (D, anti-codon, and T loops). The record is from RNAcentral. Lineage: Bacteria; Bacillati; Actinomycetota; Actinomycetes.